RNAcentral lists this ribosomal RNA (497 nucleotides) under uncultured bacterium. RNAcentral describes it as "partial 16S ribosomal RNA". It matches the Rfam family "Bacterial small subunit ribosomal RNA", at positions 28 to 507 of the family's 1533-position model. The record is from RNAcentral.
GAUGAACGCUGGCGGCGUGCCUAAUACAUGCAAGUCGAGCGAACGGACGAGAAGCUUGCUUCUCUGAUGUUAGCGGCGGACGGGUGAGCAACACGUGGAUAACCUACCUAUAAGACUGGGAUAACUUCGGGAAACCGUAGCUAAUACCGGAUAAUAUUUUGAACCGCGUGGUUCAAAAGUGAAAGACGGUCUUGCUGUCACUUAUAGAUGGAUCCGCGCUGCAUUAGCUAGUUGGUAAGGUAACGGCUUACCAAGGCAACGAUGCAUAGCCGACCUGAGAGGGUGAUCGGCCACACUGGAACUGAGACACGGUCCAGACUCCUACGGGAGGCAGCAGUAGGGAAUCUUCCGCAAUGGGCGAAAGCCUGACGGAGCAACGCCGCGUGAGUGAUGAAGGUCUUCGGAUCGUAAAACUCUGUUAUUAGGGAAGAACAUAUGUGUAAGUAACUGUGCACAUCUUGACGGUACCUAAUCAGAAAGCCACGGCUAACUACGUG